This 329-nucleotide unclassified non-coding RNA is filed under the name soil metagenome. RNAcentral's name for it is "partial contains 5.8S ribosomal RNA, internal transcribed spacer 2, and large subunit ribosomal RNA". The stretch from base 1 to 120 matches the Rfam family "5.8S ribosomal RNA", at positions 35 to 154 of the family's 154-position model. The record is from RNAcentral.
GAUGAAGAACGUAGCGAAAUGCGAUAAAUAAUGUGAAUUGCAGAAUUCAGUGAAUCAUCGAAUCUUUGAACGCACAUUGCGCCCCUUGGUAUUCCGGGGGGCAUGCCUCUUCCAGCGUCAUUUCACCCCUCAAGCUCUGCUUGGUUUUGGGCCGCGCCGGCAACGGCGGGCCUCGAAAAUAGUGGCGACGCCAUCGUGCUCUCAGCGUAGUAAUUCUUCUCGCUGUUGGGUCCCGGUGGUCGUCCGCCAGCAACCCCCAACUUUCUUAAGUUUGACCUGGGAUGAGGUAGGGAUACCCGCUGAACUUAAGCAUAUCAAUAAGCGGAGGA